CAGUAGCCACGGUAAGACGGAGGGUGCUAGCGUUGUUCGGAAUCACUGGGCGUAAAGGGCGCGUAGGCGGCCUGUUAAGUCGGAUGUGAAAGCCCGGGGCUCAACCCCGGAACUGCAUCCGAGACUGGCAGGCUUGAGACCGGGAGAGGAGGGUGGAAUAUCCAGUGUAGAGGUGAAAUUCGUAGAUAUUGGAUGGAACACCGGUGGCGAAAGCGGCUCUCUGGCCCGGAUCUGACGCUGAAGCGCGAAAGCGUGGGGAGCAAACAGGAUUAGAUACCCGCGUAGUCCCUGUCUCUUAUAC
RNAcentral lists this ribosomal RNA (301 nucleotides) under uncultured bacterium. RNAcentral describes it as "partial 16S ribosomal RNA". It matches the Rfam family "Bacterial small subunit ribosomal RNA", at positions 509 to 807 of the family's 1533-position model. The record is from RNAcentral.